This 1117-nucleotide long non-coding RNA is filed under the name Homo sapiens (human). RNAcentral's name for it is "HSALNT0304193". The record is from RNAcentral. Lineage: Eukaryota; Metazoa; Chordata; Mammalia; Primates; Hominidae.
GGACAAGGCUGAACAGCAGUGACUACCCAUGACUCAAGAUUCUUCUGGCAGGUCACAAGAGUGAACAGCAUCCCAAACCAAACUGCACAAGUUGCCCAAUAAGAAGUCCUCCCAUGAGAUUUGGAAGUCCGAAAAGGAUGACUCAAUAUUCUCCAUUGGUACCUAAGACAGACACAGGGACAGACAUGAGGACUAGAGAAACACCUGAAAAGAUGCUGUAGGAAGCUGAGAGCAUCAGCACCCCCACCCCUAAGCUUCCAGACAGGACUGAGGACCAUAUGGUUAGAAAGCCCAUACUUCAGAGGAAGAUGCAUUCUGUUGCCUGAGGGAGGAUCAGAGAUUCCUGCUUCUAAUAUCAGCUUUCAUGACUACUAUAUCCUUGGCUUUGAAAGUAAACCAAUGAACAGGCCUCCCAGAUACUAUCAAGGAGCUGAAACUUACAUAUCACUGAAUCGGGACAGUGAGACAUCAGAACCUUCACCCAUUAUGAUUGCCUCACUGACCUCCUGCUUCCUGUUGACCAAAUUAUCUUCCUUACCCCUCCCUAAUUCCUGUUUUCCCACAUUUCUUCCCUGCUAUAUAAACUCCUAAUUUCAGUUGGUCAGGGAGAUACAUUUGAGAAUGGUAUCACAUCUCCUAGGCUGCAGCACCUGAUUAAAGCCUGUUCCUUGGCAAUGCUUGUUGUCUUAGUGAUUGGCUUUCUGUGGGGUAAGCUGCAGAGUCUUCACUGAAUCCCUGGCAUUUCAGUAACAAAAUUCUCUGCAACCUUCACUGCUUUGGCUUAUUGUAACCUGAAAUCAAAUUUGUCCACAACUUCUGAGAUAACUUGAUAUAAUUCUAGGAUUCAUUUUGUCCACCACUGCUUACCAGUCUGAGCUUGCCAGCUCCCAACCCUUCCUAGUGCCAAUGAACUUUCUCAAAGAGCCACAGGUAACAUUUUCCCUUUUUCAUAAAAUGCUAAUUUUCUCUUCGUUCUUCCAAUAUCUUGAAGACCACUGAGUUUUCCUGUAUGCCCCACCUGGCAAAUAUUUCUUUGCAAAUAAAACUUAAAUUUAGAGAUUCAUCUCUACAUUUUAUUUUGACUUUAGUAGUUUACUUUAAUUCUCUGUAUUAAGAC